GACGAACCGUGCGAACGUUGUUCGGAAUCACUGGGCUUAAAGGGCGCGUAGGCGGGCAUUCAAGUCCGGGGUGAAAGCCCCCAGCUUAACUGGGGAAGUGCCUUGGAAACGGGAUGUCUUGAGGGAGGUAGGGGUCUGUGGAACUUCGGGUGGAGCGGUGAAAUGCGUUGAUAUCCGAAGGAACGCCGGUGGCGAAAGCGACGGACUGGACCUUUUCUGACGCUGAGGCGCGAAAGCCAGGGGAGCAAACGGGAUUAGAAACCCCAGUAGU
This 271-nucleotide ribosomal RNA is filed under the name uncultured bacterium. RNAcentral describes it as "partial 16S ribosomal RNA". It matches the Rfam family "Bacterial small subunit ribosomal RNA", at positions 524 to 794 of the family's 1533-position model. The record is from RNAcentral.